UUUGUGAUAUGACGUAUAAAUGUAAUGUUAUGUACUUCAGAAAUUUGUCUUUGAAACAAUUGUUAAUCCACAGAAAACGCAUUUUUUUUCAGAAAAUAACCAAAUUCGGAGACCGUUAUUGAUCCAUGUCUUGUGCGCGCAUACUUACGGUCGACGUACUUCCCACAAAAUUUUUAAACUUUUUAUUUUAUCACUUGCCCGUAACGUGAUUUCGCGCCGGCAUCUUCAUAGUACGAAUUGAUUUAUACCACUAAACAUGACAGUAAAGGAACAAGACUUGAAAGAAUUGAAAAUUAAGGCAGUGUUUCAAUUAAUCCCUUUACACAUGCAGCAUGCACUUGACAAACCGUGAAUUCGUGAAUGUUCCUCAUUGGCGAGAAACAUUGAGACAAACGCUCUCAACUUGAUCACUGCAAAUUCACAGUUUUGGGCGAAAUUCUGGCCGAAGAGGUCGAAUUGUAACUGAAACAAGACCUUAAAUACUGAAAAGGUGCACUCACAUUUCAUUUUGCAUAAGGGUACCAUAGACUUAUAGUAAAGUUAUAUGUUCUAUGGUAUCUAUUUUACUAUAAUUUUACUAUAAUUUU
Molecule: long non-coding RNA, 587 nt
Filed under: Mytilus galloprovincialis (Mediterranean mussel)
Lineage: Eukaryota; Metazoa; Mollusca; Bivalvia; Mytilida; Mytilidae
Source: RNAcentral